This is a long non-coding RNA of Homo sapiens (human), 1877 nucleotides long. Ensembl annotates it as INHBA antisense RNA 1. Its record names the gene INHBA-AS1. The record is from Ensembl. Lineage: Eukaryota; Metazoa; Chordata; Mammalia; Primates; Hominidae.
GGUGUCCAUUUCUGGAACUGCUAUUUGUAUAUUGCAUGAUAUUUUAUCAGGAAAAAAUAUAAAACAGAUCUAAUUUCAUGAAAAUGCUGUUGCCAUAAUGCUCAGGAGAACAGGGGGAAGAGAGAGAUUCAAGUCUUCCUAAUGUCUACCUUAUAUGCAGAGCCUUGGAAAGAUGGGCAAAUGCUCUGUGACAAGCCACCAGGGUAGACUGGUACUGAAAAGACCCUACUACACACAGGGGCUCUGUCCCUGGCUGGAAAGUUACAAGUCAGCCUACCUCUCUGUGAUCUGGUUUCCACACCUACUACUCUUUAUCCCAUGAGGAGCUUCUGGAAACUAAAAUAGCAGCUGCCCAGGUAGAAGAGUGUUGACCAAAGGACACAUCACCAGCACAGACUGUUAAUCAUGUGACUAGAGAAAACUCUCAUGGUGGCAUUCAAAUUUCCAUAUCCUUCUUCUAUGGAAAUUUCUGAGAGACCCAGAAAAGAAGCGUAACGACGAGGGAAAGUGAUUCCUGCAGACCUGAACAUUCCAGACUUACCAGGUGAUCCAGCUGUCUGUCAGCGGGAAGAGGCUGAGGCGCCCCCUUCUGGUGCAUCUGAAUAGUAAGAAACCCUGUGUAGAAAGAAACCCUGUAGCAAUUGGGCACCUUCUCCGUGAUCUGUCUGCUUCCAAUACCAAAAAUUGUUGCUUUUUAAAUGACAUCCAUCCUAAGCUUAAAAAAGACGCAUAUUAUUUGUAUAAAAUGUUGAAGACGCAGAACAAAAAAUGUAAAUCACAUGUAAUCAUCCCUUCCAGAAAUAAUCGUUAUUAAAAUUUCUGUGUAUGUGUAAAAAAAAAAAUUGCAAUCCUACUGUAAUAUAAUCCUGUAUACUGAUAUUUUUCACCUAUCACUGUAUGUUGAGCAUUUUCAAUAGUCAAAUUAUUUCUUGAAAAUAUUAAUGACUGGGGAGUAACCUUUCAAAUAGGUGUGUCUUUAUUUUUAAACCAGUCCACAAUUAUUGUAUAUUGAAGUCAUUUCCCAAAUUUUGUAAGUAUAAGUAUUGCAUCCAUCCUUAUAUGUAUUUAAAUGCAUCUCUUAUUAUUUCCUUGAGAUAAGUUCCUAGAAGUGGAAUCACUGGAUUUAAAAAUGUGGACAUAUUUAUGCCAGACGCGGUGGGUCAUGCCUGUAAUCCCAGCACUUUGGGAGACUGAAGCAGGUGGAUCACUUGAGGUCAGGAGUUCAAGACCAGCCUGGCCAACAUAGUGAAACCCCAUCUCUACUAAAAUUACAAAAAUUAGCCGGGUGUGGUAGUGCACGCCUGUAAUCCCAGCUACUCAGGAGGCUGAGGCAUAAGAAUCACUUGAACUCAGGAGGCGGAGGUUGCAGUGAGCCAAGAUGGCACCACUGCGCUCCAGUCUGGGCGACAGAGUAAGACUUCAUCUCAAAAAUAAAUAAAUAAAAUUAAAAUUAAAUAAGAUAAAUAAAAAAUAAAAAUGUGGACAUAUUUAAAUCUUCAUAUAUAUUACCAAAUGCCCUCCUGAAAGUUUUUACCUGUUACAUUCCAACCAAUAGUGUAAGGGCAUGACUCUUUCCCUGUGUUUUGGGAUGGAUGUUAUCAAAGUUCUCUCCCACCCAGGCCAAGUAUGGUAUAUGCUUUGAUUUAAUUUGAAUUUUUAAAUUAUUAUUUAAAAUGGACAUUUUGUUGUCCAUUUGAACAACUUUCUUUUGAGUCACUGUUCAUGUUCUUUGCCCAUUGUUUCUCUUUUAUUAGUAAGAACCCUAUUGUCAUUUUUAUAUUUUAAAUAAAAUUUCAUUGUAUAUACAUUUAUAUUAUCUAUAGUAAAGUAUAUUUUAUUAUUAAUGAGAACUUUUUAUAUUAAAGAUCCUAACCUAC